This 459-nucleotide ribosomal RNA is filed under the name uncultured bacterium. RNAcentral describes it as "partial 16S ribosomal RNA". It matches the Rfam family "Bacterial small subunit ribosomal RNA", at positions 338 to 795 of the family's 1533-position model. The record is from RNAcentral.
CCUACGGGCGGCAGCAGUGAGGAAUAUUGGUCAAUGGUCGGGAGACUGAACCAGCCACGCCGCGUGAGGGAUGAAGGUACAGAGUAUCGUAAACCUCUUUUGUCAGGGAACAACGGCGGGGACGUGUCCCCGGAUGAGUGUACCUGAAGAUAAAGCAUCGGCUAACUCCGUGCCAGCAGCCGCGGUAAUACGGGGGAUACGAGCGUUAUCCGGAUUUAUUGGGUUUAAGGGGUGCGCAGGCGGUCUGUUAAGUCAGCGGUAAAAGCCCGGGGCUCAACCCCGGCCCGCCGUUGAAACUGGCAGUCUCGAGUUGGAGAGAAGUAUGCGGAAUGCGCGGUGUAGCGGUGAAAUGCAUAGAUAUCGCGCAGAACACCGAUGGCGAAGGCAGCAUGCCGGCUCCACACUGACGCUGAGGCACGAAAGCGUGGGUAUCGAACAGGAUUAGAUACCCCAGUAGUC